UCACUGGAUUAUUAUUCAAUUCUUUGUAUGCUACGGAGCUACAUAAGUAUUACUUGGUCAUUGUAGUGUCAUAUGUGUUCAAUGUAUAAUAACAUCGAUCUCUAUUACUAUAAUUAAUACACCAGUUUUGAAUUUAGCGUUACCACCCCACCUUCUGUUUUCCCGCCUAAAGAUAUAGCAUGUCAAUCAUAGUUUUAAGUAGCGCGUUAUCUCGGUGCUAUUGUGUUUGCAGGGGCCUCGCGCUAAAGCUAUGAUCUUAAUAUCCAGCAUUGAAUUUACAACCUCUGUUUAUCUCUACCCUACAUAAAUCACAUAGCCGCGGAGUUGGACGGCCAAAGUCAGCUGGAUUCACUCGGCUUUCCUGGACUCUUGGUUUCUGUGGUGGUGAAUUUUUUAUCUGUCCUUGGUAGAGAUUUGUAGGUUGAACCGGCCAGGGGAAUUAUGCCAAAAACUCUCCACAUUCUGCUGGUACUACAAGAGCAAAGAGGCACCAAGCAAAUCCUCAUAAGAGGGAUGAUGAGAUCAUUGAGGAGAGCAAUGUUACCACCAACAUUACUCACAGGGACAUAGCUAGCAAGAGAC
This is a long non-coding RNA of Triticum dicoccoides, 582 nucleotides long. RefSeq lists it as uncharacterized. The record is from RefSeq and is a predicted model, not a curated record. Lineage: Eukaryota; Viridiplantae; Streptophyta; Magnoliopsida; Poales; Poaceae. The transcript is spliced from 4 exons.